Long non-coding RNA from Poecilia latipinna (sailfin molly), 623 nucleotides. RefSeq lists it as uncharacterized. The record is from RefSeq and is a predicted model, not a curated record. Lineage: Eukaryota; Metazoa; Chordata; Actinopteri; Cyprinodontiformes; Poeciliidae. The transcript has 2 exons.
GGAGGUGUCUCUAUCAGCGGCUGCUCUUCACCUCUGCAGUCAACAUUACCCGGAAGCUAACCGCGCAGAGGAUCCAUCACCACACAAACAACCGGCGGCGGCGGAGGGGAUGCGGUCGAAGCCGGACGCCAUCCUCCAGCAGACGGACGGACACCGGAAACCGCCACGCAGCGACCCGCUGCCACUGUGCUGCAGCAGCUACAGCCCAUUCAUGACGGAGGAGAAUCUGGAAGUGGCUAAAAAGAAGCUCCGGCGGCAAUAAUCGCCUUUCAGCUUCCGUAAAAUUGCUUUCGAACUAACACAAAGGCUAUCUGGAGCUGGUUAAAAUAUUACGAAGGGUAGUUCCAGCUUUUGAACACCAGGCGUCGCUGUAUCACCCGAUGUAACCGCAACCUAGUUAAAAACUACUGAGUUGUUCUAAAGUCCUGCUACUAUUUCCCUAUUUGUAAACUAAUAACAUUGUAUGACUUCUCAAGAUGAUUAAAAUGACUCAUUUUAAGUUUUGAGUUAUUUUUCGUGGAGAAGUUCUCAUUAAGUUAAUACUUAAUUUUCCUGUAUCACUACAACUUUAUUCUGGUAAUGUUACGAAAUUAUUUUGGUAUUAUAAAGAUUUUAUCAUGUUA